UAUCUCUGGCUUCUGGUCAAUGAAAAAAAAUCUUUCGUCUUUUACUAAAGAUUUCCGUGGCCAGGAGCACACAAUGAGUCUCUAGACUAAUUUUUAAAAAAAACUUNUU
This 109-nucleotide small nuclear RNA is filed under the name Strigamia maritima. RNAcentral's name for it is "U5 spliceosomal RNA". It matches the Rfam family "U5 spliceosomal RNA". From Rfam's summary of the family: U5 RNA is a component of both types of known spliceosome. The record is from Rfam by way of RNAcentral. Lineage: Eukaryota; Metazoa; Arthropoda; Chilopoda; Geophilomorpha; Linotaeniidae.